CUGGAGACUAAGAAAUGAGAGUCCUUGAAGUCAAGCCGACUCUGCCUUUAGCCUCCUAAAUGAAAAGGUAGAUAGAACAGGUCUUGUUCGCAAAGGAAGUUCAAGACCUACUUAUCUACCAACAGCA
Molecule: non-coding RNA, 127 nt
Organism: Oryctolagus cuniculus (rabbit)
Lineage: Eukaryota; Metazoa; Chordata; Mammalia; Lagomorpha; Leporidae
Source: Ensembl